RNAcentral lists this ribosomal RNA (162 nucleotides) under Phytophthora cf. citricola group E. Its description in RNAcentral is "Phytophthora citricola E 5.8S ribosomal RNA". The stretch from base 37 to 162 matches the Rfam family "5.8S ribosomal RNA", at positions 1 to 126 of the family's 154-position model. Rfam says of the family: 5.8S ribosomal RNA (5.8S rRNA) is a component of the large subunit of the eukaryotic ribosome. It is transcribed by RNA polymerase I as part of the 45S precursor that also contains 18S and 28S rRNA. Lineage: Eukaryota; Oomycota; Peronosporomycetes; Peronosporales; Peronosporaceae. The record is from RNAcentral.
UGUGGGGACGAAAGUCUCUGCUUUUAACUAGAUAGCAACUUUCAGCAGUGGAUGUCUAGGCUCGCACAUCGAUGAAGAACGCUGCGAACUGCGAUACGUAAUGCGAAUUGCAGGAUUCAGUGAGUCAUCGAAAUUUUGAACGCAUAUUGCACUUCCGGGUUA